Molecule: ribosomal RNA, 443 nt
Filed under: uncultured bacterium
Lineage: Bacteria
Description: partial 16S ribosomal RNA
Rfam family: Bacterial small subunit ribosomal RNA
Source: RNAcentral
CCUACGGGGGGCAGCAGUGGGGAAUAUUGGGCAAUGGGCGCAAGCCUGACCCAGCAACGCCGCGUGAAGGAAGAAGGCUUUCGGGUUGUAAACUUCUUUUGUCAGGGACGAAGCAAGUGACGGUACCUGACGAAUAAGCCACGGCUAACUACGUGCCAGCAGCCGCGGUAAUACGUAGGUGGCAAGCGUUAUCCGGAUUUAUUGGGUGUAAAGGGCGUGUAGGCGGGCAUGCAAGUCAGAUGGGAAAACUAUGGGCUCAACCCAUAGCCUGCAUUUGAAACUGUAUGUCUUGAGUGCUGGAGAGGCAAACGGAAUUCCGUGUGUAGCGGUGAAAUGCGUAGAUAUACGGCGGAACACCAGUGGCGAAGGCGGAUUGCUGGACAGUAACUGACGCUGAGGCGCGAAAGCGUGGGGAGCAAACAGGAUUAGAUACCCUUGUAGUC